UUAUUUUCGCCCAGUGUAGUGGGCUUCCUGCAGACGAAAACACGGUCGAAAAUAGCUCGCAGACUGGCCAGACGACAACGCAGCGCGGAUAAUGUCGCAAUGGUAAUGGUGGCGCUACGCCAGCCAGGGCUUCCAUUUCCUCUCUCGCCCAGGGCUGCAUCACUUCCGGCGAAAGUCCUCGAGCUUGGGAGUUCGCAGUGCGUUGCCUACCCUCAGGCGCCAUUUGGAGUUUGAGGGGUUUUGGUAUUCCACCUAUUACAUGACUCAUUGCGGGGACUUUGGCUGUCAGUGCAGCCCUGGCGCGCAGAAAUUCGCACACAAAUUAAACAUUGUCUGGCCGUCUCUGACCGACAUCGACAUCAACGUCUCGCUGGCAAUUCUUCGGCGACGCUUUCUUUGAGUAAUGGACGAGGCGCGGAAUACGCAUACGCACGCGGACAGCAGAGGGCGGCUGACUGACAGACAAAAAUUCUGUUGUGGCACAUAUGCAACCUCCUCGUCCAUUUGGGGGGAUGGAAUGCCCAAGAACAAGAACUAUAACUAUGGCCCAAUCAUUACAACUCAAUCAUCGGUCGAAAAUAGCAAAUUUCUUCCAAGAUUCCAUCCAUUUCCCGUAUUUUUGGAAGCCAUUGAGGGGUCCGACUGCCGGAAGAGCCACCCCAGUCACACGGAUCCACCCACCUCCUCCUCCAUUGCCCAGAUUCCCUCCAGAAACGCAGCGAGAAAUCUCUCGGUGAUUUAGGAACACUAAAUCCGAGCCGACGUGGGGGAAAGAAAAUACGCACAAAGAGGGAGGAUUCCGAUGGAUCUUCUGGGUGCUCUUCCGCGUGCAGCCUCUGAGGGAAAAGUUCUUUGGGAAUAUAAUCUAGCGAAAUGGUAAAAGAACUUGGUGUUUGUGGGUCAAAAAGAGUUUACGACAUCCCAAAGGAUUUUUUAUAAUAUUUGUUUUCCUAUAAGUCCAUGUAAUAAUUUUGCACGAAAAAAAUGUAAAUUUGAUCCGAAACAUUGCAACAAUUUGUCCAAAUAUGGAAUGUAAUACAUCGUUGAACUCGUAAUA
Non-coding RNA from Drosophila suzukii, 1057 nucleotides. NCBI's taxonomy places the organism in Eukaryota, Metazoa, Arthropoda, Insecta, Diptera, Drosophilidae. The record is from RefSeq and is a predicted model, not a curated record.